GUAGGCGGAUGUUUAAGUGGGAUGUGAAAUCCCCGGGCUUAACCUGGGGGCUGCAUUCCAAACUGGAUAUCUAGAGUGCAGGAGAGGAAAGCGGAAUUCCUAGUGUAGCGGUGAAAUGCGUAGAGAUUAGGAAGAACACCAGUGGCGAAGGCGGCUUUCUGGACUGUAACUGACGCUGAGGCACGAAAGCGUGGGUAGCAAACAGGAUUAGAUACCCUGGUAGUCCACGCCGUAAACGAUGGAUACUAGGUGUAGGGGGUAUCAACUCCCCCUGUGCCGCAGUUAACACAAUAAGUAUCCCGCCUGGGGAGUACGGUCGCAAGAUUAAAACUCAAAGGAAUUGACGGGGGCCCGCACAAGCAGCGGAGCAUGUGGUUUAAUUCGAAGCAACGCGAAGAACCUUACCUGGACUUGACAUCCCUUGCAUAGCCUAGAGAUAGGUGAAGCCCUUCGGGGCAAGGAGACAGGUGGUGCAUGGUUGUCGUCAGCUCGUGUCGUGAGAUGUUAGGUUAAGUCCUGCAACGAGCGCAACCCUUGUUAUUAGUUGCUACCAUUAAGUUGAGCACUCUAAUGAGACUGCCUGGGUAACCAGGAGGAAGGUGGGGAUGACGUCAAAUCAUCAUGCCCCUUAUGUCCAGGGCUACACACGUGCUACAAUGGUAGGUACAAUAAGACGCAAGACCGUGAGGUGGAGCAAAACUUAUAAAACCUAUCUCAGUUCGGAUUGUAGGCUGCAACUCGCCUACAUGAAGCUGGAGUUGCUAGUAAUCGCGAAUCAGAAUGUCGCGGUGAAUACGUUCCCGGGCCUUGUACACACCGCCCGUCACACCAUGAGAGCUGGUAACACCCGAAGUCCGUGAGGUAACCGUAAGGAGCCAGCGGCCGAAGGUGGGAUUAGUGAUUGGGGUGAAGUCGUAACAAGGUAGCCGUAGGAGAACCUGCGGCUG
RNAcentral lists this ribosomal RNA (947 nucleotides) under Clostridium botulinum. RNAcentral describes it as "bacterial SSU rRNA". It matches the Rfam family "Bacterial small subunit ribosomal RNA", at positions 571 to 1520 of the family's 1533-position model. The record is from RNAcentral. Lineage: Bacteria; Bacillati; Bacillota; Clostridia; Eubacteriales; Clostridiaceae.